AGGGGAUCUCUGAAGGGAGAGAUUUGAAAUGUGAGGGGGCUGAAGGAUGGCCACAUGGCAAGGUUACACGAACCCCCAGGACCUGGGUAUGACCUCUAGUGGUUGAGAAUGGGUCACCUCUGACAGCUAGUGAGAAAACAGGACCUCCCUCAUACAGGCAAGGAAGUGAGUUCUAACACCCUGAGGGAGCUUGGAAGCAGAUCUUUCCUGAGUUGAACUUCGAGAUGAAAACACACGGGGCGACAUCUUGACUUCAAUCAAGUGAGACCUUAGGCUGAGAACCCAAUGAAAACGUACCUGACUCCUGCCCUUCAAACUGGAGACUACCGGAGACCGAGGAUCCGAGCCCUAUUUGUGACACAAAACAUGCUGGAUGGUUAAUUUGGUGCGAACUUACUUUGUUCAUGUGGACUUUACAUAUCAGAUACUGGAUACACAUUGCAAUAGCAGGACCCUGUAAAUACUGUCUUCUGGAUUUUCACCACAGCAUGAUGGAUUCCCAGCUUCAUAAACUGUGUAACUCGUGUGUCUAAACUUCCCUAAUUACUAAUACCUGGCUCUGUUUUAAUUCUGCUUCCAUAUGUUCUCGACUUCUCUGCAGAUAUAACAGUAAGUUUCAUGUCUCAUUGCUCAAUUAGUUGCUGUUGUUAGCUUAAUAAGUGAAAGGCUUUCUGGUGUCAUUGACCUGAUUUUUAGGAUUGCAAA
This is a long non-coding RNA of Prionailurus viverrinus (fishing cat), 705 nucleotides long. RefSeq lists it as uncharacterized. The record is from RefSeq and is a predicted model, not a curated record. The transcript has 3 exons. NCBI's taxonomy places the organism in Eukaryota, Metazoa, Chordata, Mammalia, Carnivora, Felidae.